This 482-nucleotide ribosomal RNA is filed under the name uncultured bacterium. RNAcentral's name for it is "partial 16S ribosomal RNA". It matches the Rfam family "Bacterial small subunit ribosomal RNA", at positions 30 to 507 of the family's 1533-position model. The record is from RNAcentral.
AUUGAACGCUGGCGGCAUGCUUUACACAUGCAAGUCGAACGGUAACAGGUCUUCUGAUGCUGACGAGUGGCGAACGGGUGGGUAAUACAUCGGAACGUGCCUAGUAGUGGGGGAUAACUACUCGAAAGAGUAGCUAAUACCGCAUGAGAUCUACGGAUGAAAGCAGGGGACCUUCGGGCCUUGUGCUACUAGAGCGGCUGAUGGCAGAUUAGGUAGUUGGUGGGGUAAAGGCUGACCAAGCCUGCGAUCUGUAGCUGGUCUGAGAGGACGACCAGCCACACUGGGACUGGGCCACGGCCCAGAGUCCUACGGGAGGCAGCAGUGGGGAAUUGUGGACAAUGGGGGAAAGCCUGAUCCAGCAAGGCCGCGUGCAGGAUGAAGGCCCUCGGGUUGUAAACUGCUUUUGUACGGAUCGAAAAGCCUGGGGCUAAUAUCCCCGGUUCAUGACGGUACCGGAAGAAUAAGCACCGGCUAACUACGUG